GUUCCUUUGUAGUUUAUAAGUGUGAUGAUGGGUGCUCACACUCAUGUGAGAUGUGUCUCCCUCUAAGCCUUGUAACAACAUCAGCACAUUACCCUUCUGAUG
Molecule: small nucleolar RNA, 102 nt
Organism: Macaca fascicularis (crab-eating macaque)
Lineage: Eukaryota; Metazoa; Chordata; Mammalia; Primates; Cercopithecidae
Source: Ensembl